UAUAUGUACAUGUACAUAUACAUACAUAUAUGUACACACACAGAUAUAUAUGCUUUUUGGUGUGUGCACGCGCAUGCGUGUGUGUGUGUGUGUGUGUGUUGGGGACACAUGUAUGCAGAGGUCAGAGGACAACCUACAGGAGUUGACUUUUCCUUUCACUUUGUGUGUUCUGAGGAUUUAACACAAGCAGGUCAUGAGGCUUAGGGAGAAGCACCUUGAACUCAUUUUCAUUGACUGGCAUGUUAUCUACAGUUUCCAUUGGCAAACCCAACUUCUCUACAUGAAAGUGCUAUGUCAUUGCAGGUAUUCAAAUGGCUUUAGGGAUCUGGCUGAACAGUCACCUAAAAGUCUCCUUCUAGACUCAUGACUCAUUGGGCCAUAGCCAACAGAGGCCACACACUGCUGUUUCCACUCAAGACUUAAAGAAGGUGUGCUGGCUACUUGACACAAGCUAGAGUCAUCUGAAAGGAGAGAACUCCAAUUAAGAAAAUGCCUCCAUAAGAUCUGGCUGUAGGACAUUUUCUUAAUUAGUGAUUCAUGGAGGAAGGCCCAGCCUAUUGGGGUUGGUGCCGUUCCUGGGCUGGUGGUCCUGGCAUCUAUAGGAAAGUAGGCUGAACAAGUGAUGGGGAGCAAGCCAGUAAGCAGCACCCCUCCAUGGCCUCUGCAUCAGCUCCUGCCUCCAGGUUCCUGCCCUGCUUGAGUUCCCGCCCUCACUGCUUUGGAAGAGAAACUGUUACAUGGAACCGUGAGUGAAAUAGACCCUUUCCUCCCCAAGACGCUUUUGGUCAUGGUGUUUCAUCAUAGCAAUAGAAACCAUAACCAAGAUAGAAGGGAAUGACCCUUUUGCUAAAUUGUACCAUUCACAGGGUAUCCUGUUUCUGGGACCCUUGAAAGAUAGUCAUGGUUUGCUACUCAAAUAAAAUUAGACAUUAGAAGGGAACUAAAUUAGAAUCUGAUGGUGAAUGGUCACAUGGCCUGCUUGGGGAGCUGAGAAGAGAAUCCCCACCUAAUUAGUUCUUUAUUAAACCAAAGCACCCGAUCUUUGUGCUACUCUGGACAUUUUGUUCCAUAUAGGACAAAUGCAAGAGCAGGGGCUGAUACGUCCACUGGAAAAUAACAAGUACCAGAAGCUGGGUGGUGCCGAAGUAUAGGAAUGGUGGCAAAGACCAAGUAUGGGCUGUUUCCUAAACUCAAAGAAGAGAGGAAACUUUCAGCGAUGCGUAUGACUUGCAAAUCUCUCAGUAGGAUACUGGGCCACACAUGACCAAGGCCUCUUGUGUGGGAAGGAAUUCCAUCAUGAAUGGAGUAGACUGAGAACAGCUUGAAGGCAGGAAGGGACCUUUCCAUCAGUGUAUCAUCAGUAUUUGGCAUGGCGGCUAGGACAUAGUAGCAAUCUAACAGCUGUUUGUUGAAUAACUUAAUGAAGUUCUUGGCCAUAUGGUAAUAAAUCAUUGAUCACC
Rattus norvegicus (Norway rat) is the source of this 1460-nucleotide non-coding RNA. The record is from RefSeq and is a predicted model, not a curated record. NCBI's taxonomy places the organism in Eukaryota, Metazoa, Chordata, Mammalia, Rodentia, Muridae.